Molecule: ribosomal RNA, 450 nt
Filed under: uncultured bacterium
Lineage: Bacteria
Description: partial 16S ribosomal RNA
Rfam family: Bacterial small subunit ribosomal RNA
Source: RNAcentral
CCUACGGGGGGCUGCAGUAGGGAAUAUUGGACAAUGGGCGCAAGCCUGAUCCAGCCAUGCCGCGUGAGUGAAGAAGGCCCUCGGGUUGUAAAGCUCUUUUGUCCGGAAAGAAAAGCAAUCGGUUAAUACCCGGUUGUUCUGACGGUACCGGAAGAAUAAGCACCGGCUAACUUCGUGCCAGCAGCCGCGGUAAUACGAAGGGUGCAAGCGGUACUCGGAGCGUCUGGGGGUGGAGCGUUAGUAGGGAGUUGAAGGCCCUGGGCUCAACCUGGGAAUGGCAUUGGAUACUGGCGGGCUAGAGUGCGGUAGAGGGUAGUGGAAUUCCCGGUGUAGCAGUGAAAUGCGUAGAGAUCGGGAGGAACAUCUGUGGCGAAGGCGACUGCCUGGACCAGCACUGACACUGAGGCACGAAAGCGUGGGGAGCAAACAGGAUUAGAUACCCCGGUAGUC